Molecule: ribosomal RNA, 497 nt
Filed under: uncultured bacterium
Lineage: Bacteria
Description: partial 16S ribosomal RNA
Rfam family: Bacterial small subunit ribosomal RNA
Source: RNAcentral
GAUGAACGCUGGCGGCGUGCCUAAUACAUGCAAGUCGAGCGAACAGACGAGGAGCUUGCUCCUCUGACGUUAGCGGCGGACGGGUGAGUAACACGUGGAUAACCUACCUAUAAGACUGGGAUAACUUCGGGAAACCGGAGCUAAUACCGGAUAAUAUAUUGAACCGCAUGGUUCAAUAGUGAAAGACGGUUUUGCUGUCACUUAUAGAUGGAUCCGCGCCGCAUUAGCUAGUUGGUAAGGUAACGGCUUACCAAGGCAACGAUGCGUAGCCGACCUGAGAGGGUGACCGGCCACAUUAGAACUGAGACACGGUCCAGAGUCCUACGGGAGUCACAAGUAGGGAAGAUUCCGCAAUGGGCGAAAGCCUGACGGAGCAACGACGCGUGAGUGAUGAAGGUCUUAGGAUCUUAAAACUCUGUUAUUAGAGAAGAACAAAUGUGUAAGUAACUAUGCACGUCUUGACGGUAACUAAUCAGAAAGCCACGGCUAACUACGUG